UACGAGUGCCCCAAGCGUUAUCCGGAAUUACUGGGCGUAGAGAGUGCGUAGGUGGUUUGUUAAGUUUGUGGUUAAAUCCUGGAGCUCAACUUCAGGGCCGCCACAAAUACUGGCAGACUCGAGGCAGGGAGAGGCAAGUGGAAUUGCCGGUGUAGCGGUAAAAUGCGUUAAUAUCGGCAAGAACACCCAAGGCGAAAGCAUCUUGCUAGAACUGUCCUGACACUGUUGCACGAAAGCGUGGGAGCAAAAAGG
Molecule: ribosomal RNA, 252 nt
Filed under: uncultured bacterium
Lineage: Bacteria
Description: partial 16S ribosomal RNA
Rfam family: Bacterial small subunit ribosomal RNA
Source: RNAcentral